UGCAGUAAAACGAAACCAGAGAGAGGGCACAACCUGAAACAUAGCAAUUGCCAAAGCCAUAGAGCAAAAAAGAUAGGGCCAACAUCCAGGAUAACGACUCGCAAUAAAUGACGCUUCAGCCAAGCAAUACCGGAGCCAACAAGCGCAAAGACCAGAGAGAAGGAAGAGACCACGAGAUCAACUGCUCUCUGCACAUUUCACCGGAGAGGAAAACGUCGAUGCCUAUCAUGACCGAAAAGAAGAAGAGAAACCCCACCAAGACACCGAGGGGAGGAGACGAGAUCUGCAAUUCACCACGGCCCAACAAACAAGAGAACUGAGACUCCACACCACUUGAACCUUCAGGAGAUCAUGAGAGUCGAAAAGCUAAUACAACCAAGCGCUGGUCUCAAAGGCAGAGGAGAGUAGAAACAGAUCUAAAAAUUCACCACCACUGUAAUCCCUAAAAACCGGUCCUACCACACACGUACCACUGACGAGACUCGCCGACGCUCCAAUAGAGAACAUGAGCCACCGAAUCCAGACCUAUGGCACUGAGAUAUAGGUCAAAAGCCGGGGCACGCCAACCACCACAGAGAAGCCGAGCAUAUCGAAUCGCCGAGGCAAAGAAGACAAAGAAAAGAGAAGAGAAAGAAAAAAGGAUUGAGGCCUCCGGCACCGGCAAAGGAGCUGACCACCAGCGACAGCAAUGCACAGAGCUUUUUUUUAAGAGAGAAAAAGUUCUUCUUUUAGUUAGAUAUGACUUCACCUCUAAGAGGUAGACUUAUAUUGAUUUAUUUGAACUUCAUUUUUUAUAUUCAAACUGAAAUCAAAUCUAGCAUGGAUCUAUCAGGUAUAGUGUUUUAGCUUCGACUACCUUUAAGCAAAUUAAGUUUAUGUUUUAAUUUCAUAAAAUAAAAAAAAGAUAUUUCUAAAACUUAUUAUAUAUACAUAUUUAGUUUAUAUAAACUAAUUUAAAUCCUUACGUACCUCAAAUAUAAAAGGUAUACCUUGGAAUUACUCAAUUACCUGUUGGGGUUUAUUAAUUCGUUUUUUUUUUCUACGAGCUUAAUCUAACAUUACCAACUAAGACAAAAUGUCUCUAUAUCAAAGAGACAAAGACUAGUGUCUAGUUUCAUGGGUUGGCUUAAAUCAUGGCCCAUUCACAAAAAUAAACUCAUAUGUGUGAUAAUGAGGUAAGGUAUUCGUAGAAAAUAGAACAGUUCACAAUCUCGUUCUCCAUCGAUGAGGAUGUGAUCAGGCCACUCAUAAUCUUUAACACGGUUGGGGUGCACCAACCCAAUAAGAAUAUAUAACACUUCAGCCCACUAACUAAUGGACCUUAACAAGAAAGAAAAUAAUAAUGGCUGCGGAAGUUUCCAACGAAAAACGACACGUUCAUCCUAGUAUGUGGAAAAAAGAAGGCGUCAAUUGCGUCACCCAUGACAUCAAUGCAUGCAGAGUCUCGCUUUAGCUGUGUGGAGGUGACAAUAGAAAAAUACUUUUAUAUUGCAGACCUAAUGUUUAUUUUUAAUUAUCCAUUAUUAUAGGUAGGUCUCUUAAGGAUGUUAUAGGGUCAAUCGCUUCUUUCUUGGUUUCAGGGGUCGACUUAUAGAGGUAAGAACAUCGUUAUCGGCGUUCCGAACCGCGUCCUUACCGAAUUAAACCGAAAAAAUAAAUCAAAAUGAAAUUAAAAAGAAGAAAACGUAUGUUAGUUAAGAAGUUUUUGUGUCCGUCCUUAACGGCACGUGUCAUCGCGGGAGGGAGUGUGCGUCUAGGGUUGGAACAGGGGAGUCGAGUCAUUCUCAUCCUCUCCCUUCUCUCUCUCAACGGCGAUCUCGGUCUCACCCUGUUCCCUCUCCCGGUCAGUAUUUUAAAAAAUAUCAACAAAUAAUCUGAACUUCCUUUUCCGUUAGGCGUUAUGUAUCAUCAAAAUAUAUUAAUUUAACUAGUAACCAUCGUAUGGUUUUGUUUUUGAAGAAAUGAUCGUAACAAAUGUGUAAUCAAGGUGGUUAUGAAUAAUGAAUUAAUUAAAGAAAACACUAUAAAUGAACUCGAACCUGUAGUACGGAGAGACUCGGAGGCCAGAGACGAAGGCGAGUUUGGUGGUGCUUAUAACCGGUGAAUUGCCAUCGUGUAAUGCAUUUCCACCGCGUGUCACUGUCUUGAUCGUUCCUCUGAUCAUCCCAACUAUCUCAUUAUCGAUCUCAGCCACCUGUCACAUGCAUUGCCCAAAUUAAAACGAGAAAAAUAAUAAUGAAAAAGGGCAAAUCAAAACCAUUGAACGUUAACGUGUAUAUAUUGUGUAAACGUACCAGCAUGUAGAAAGAAGGAGAUUGUCGGAUCCGGGCAAGCGGGUCACCCAUGAGAUCAACUAAUAAAGACCCGACUUCACAGCUUUUCUCAAGCUCUUCCACUCUCUUUAAGUCUCUGUUUGGAUCAUAAUCUCUCACCACAACUACUUGAAAACCUUUCCUAAUUUAAAAUCAACUUAUCAGCUAAUAAAAGCUUUAGUAUAAAAUCGUACGGAAGCCUAACAAAACUUUUCUUCUUGCAAAUAUUUCAGAUUGCUUCUUUCACAAAGUGAGUAUUGUCAUUAGUCUAUUUAUAGUUAGGAUUUAGCUUUGUUCUCCUAGUUAAUUAGUAUAUGAUUAGGGUUUUUAUUUAAUUAUCACUAUCUCUUUCUCUCUAUUUUUAUAAUGUCAAUGUUGUAGUUAGUGCUCUUUCUUUGGAACUCUGUCGAUUCUUCCUCAUUUCCGUGUGUAUUUUUAUUUACAAAUUCGCAUAUCUAGCUAUAUUUUAUUUUUGAUGAUCCGGUUAUGAUUCGUGUAUAGCAAUAUUUUCCGAGAAUAUCACGGCUCAUAUGUUAAUUCCGUUUUAAAAGUAUAUAGAUAUGGACGGAUACAACAAAAACUAAUAACAACCCACGAUUCUAACUUCUAUCAUAUUUUAUAGUUCUUCCAAUUACAUGGCACUGCGACUCCAACGAUACAUACUUAAUAUUAGGUCCCAACUUGAAAUUAAAUAAAACAAGACUAAUUUCUAUAUAUAUAUAGGUAGAGCAAAUUAUGCUUUUCAUUACAUCUAUAAAUUAUAUAUGUUACAUCCCAGUCUUUAUAAUAAUAUAAAGGUCUUCACUCUAUAUAUGCUCUUCAUCUCAUAUAACCUAAAACUAUAGAUGUGUUGUCUAUCUCUUUUAAUAAAAAAAUUGUGGGCAUCAAUGCCAAAACCCAUGCUAAAUUUACGAUGUCUAUACAAAUUCGAUGUUUAUUUUGCAUGUGUUUAUAGGUGAUCAUCCAUAAUUGAAAUCUAAAGUAGGAGACUCAACUCCUAACUUAGACCUACAGAACAAAUUCUAACAACCACUAUCUGACGAUUAAUUAUUGUUUUAUGUAUAUUUAUUUCAGUGAGUUUGUAUACAUAACGUUUAUUGUUUUUUUACGAUCGUUUAUGUGUUUUAGUUUCUUAACCAUUUUAUCUUGACAUCAGUAUUAUUAUUGCUCUUCAAAGUUAUGCCGGUGGUUCAUAUUUACUAUUUAGAUAGAAAUCUUACAAAUGAAAACACAUACACAUAAAAAGGAAUUUGGAAUUUAAGUAUAAAGAAUACGACCACAUAUUAAUAAAGACUCUAAGAAAAAGUCGAUCAAAGCACACAGGAAAAGCUGGAAUGGCGGCGGAGAUACGUGGUGGGUUUAGGAUUAGUAACUAUCCCUUUGAUUAUUGCUUUAAAUUUUCUUUUUAAUUUAUACGAUAGUCAGCUAUAUGCCUAUAUCAUUUGCUGAAUUAAUAAAUAUAGAGCUCAAUUUAAAAAAUAUUGCAUAACAAUUAUAUGUUCGUUUCAUAAUGAUUCCACAUGAUCAUCACUGUCAUCACCUCGAUAUCCCUUUCCCUUUCGAAGUCUUUUUUUCUUAAUUUACAGUCAUACUCAACUCGAUUCAAUAAUGCAUUCGUGAUCUUUUACGCAACUCCACGAAAUGUUUCCUCGUGACAAAAAUAAUCUCAAAUUAUGGAUCGAAACAGUACAAGAAAGAUUCAAAUGAGCACAUAUGAAAUGCGAUAGACAUAAGUCUAAGUAACUAUGUCCAAAACGUAACUACUCUAUAAGUAUUAUCGUUUAGAAACAUGUUUCCUAACCUAUACGGAGCACAUUACAGUUAAGUUCAUGAGUCGGAGGCAGAAAUUUUUACAACCGGGAAAUCUUAUAUAAAAAACAAGUAUUUUUAGUUGGGGUAACAUGAACUUCACAAAAUAAUAGGGAUCAAUUGAAAAUUUAUACCCGGAUCAGUUAGAUAACUAAAAUCAAGUGGGGUCAUCUGACCCCACUCUCUUCAAUAUGCCUCCGCUUCAUAACCAUAACAGUCGAUUUGUUUUUUGGCGGCAGGAAAAAUGAAUUUCGAAACAGAAUCUUAGUAGAUAUUGGUUAACUGGAGAAGAAAAUAAUGGUAAUAGAUCUUGUUAAUAAAGCUGAAAAAGAGAUAGGUGCGGUUUGGUUUGAAGAACUUUGCCAAGGGAGAGAAUCUGCAACGUGACAUUACGAUAGAGUGGUCCUGCAAAUUUCUCCUGAAACAUAGGCCGUCGAUUAUUUUAGACAUGAGCCCACUUAGAAUAAAAGUGAUUACCUUUCUGUCUUUUAUUAUUAUUUUAUAAAUACACUAUUUUCUUAGCUAAAUGCGAAGGUGCUUCGCAAAUCUUUCACCUUACCGGUGGAAUAUCAUCUUUCUGCGCUAAUCAUAAUAUAAGGAACGUGAUCAGACGGCUUGCUUUUUCCACAAUAUUCUCCAACUUUUUUCUACUUUCUCAUAUUCUCUGGAUUGGAUUCGUAUCUCUCGUUUCUUCUCUAUCUCUUCAUAGUUCUUCACUUCCAAUCAAUUGUUUAAUAUUAAAAAGUAUAGUUUUCAUCGAAGAGUAUAUUUAUUAGAUAAUUUAAUUGGCAUAUAAACAUUUUUUUUUUGCUUUCUCUAAAAGUUUGUAUUCCUAAGAUCAUUUCCAAUGUAUUUAUUUUUAUUUCUAAAAUAAAGCAACUCAAAAAUAGAGAUGUAUUUAUUUUCAAUGUAUUUUUCUAUUUUUGUUUCUAUAAAAAUAUUCUCAAAAGAUUCUAUUUAAAUUUUACAACAAAUACCUUUUAUUUAUGAAAGUUGAUAAUUAGCCCUAUUUUUUUUAACUUUUACAAGAUUUUUAUAAAAUUAUAACUCUAUUUAAACUAAAUUUUCAUUAUAAAGACUAUUAUAUAAAUAAAAAGUGGGAUUUACGUUUAUAAAAACGGUAUUUUAUUUAAAAAAUAAUUGUUUUGGUUAUAAUUAUAAUAGUUUAAACGUUAAAAGAUUAUUUUGUAAAUAGAAAAGUAUGACUCUAUAAUAGAGAAAUGCUAUUUUUGUCUCUAUAUUUAAAGGAAAAAUAUCAAUUUCUAUUUUAAAAAAGAAAUAGAGGUGGGUUGGAAAUGGUUUUAUUAAGGUAUGUAUUUUUCAACUGUUUAUUACUUAUGCUGUGCUGUUUUCUAUCCUUGCGAAUUAUAAGUAGUAAUUAUCAGUGCUGAUUGCAAAGCAUUUUCGAUUUUCUGAUUCAUCGACAAUUUUAGGCACGAAAAUAGUUCGGACAAACCUUUUUACCGUUUUUGUGUGUGUUUAAUGGACAAAAAUACUUUAAUUUUGGUAUUUAGUCGGAAAAUAUACUAUUUCUCAUAUUUUUAUGAGGUUCCACUUCAUUGAAAUUGCUUUCCAACGAACUUUGUUAUGUUGAAACGUUUAUGAUAUUAAUAUUUCAAUAUUAGCUACCAAAUUUCGGUCAAAAAAUAUAUUUCAAAAUAUUGAAUUUCAAAUAUAAAAAAGAAAAUUUUAUAUACGUCAAUAAGAUAUUAUCUUAGAGAACAAGAUAGAUGAUCGAAUACAGAAACAAAUAAUUGACAGAUAUCAUUUUGUUAUAUAGUAUAAAUCAAUAGUAUUACUUACAAAUAUUUGUCUGUCGAGCGACUGCCUGGAACAUUACUUUGGAAUAUUCACGAGUUUAAUUGAAAUCUUUUUUAUUCUUCACAUAGAAGAGUUGAAAAACUGAUUAAGCAAUGACGAAUUAGAGAUAAUCAUAAUCAAAUGGGCAUGAUUAGUUGUAAACCUCUAGGGUAUUUCCUUUAAAUGCAAUAUAAAAAGUUAAAAAUGCCAAAAUUGUACAUCACGCUACGUAUGUAAUGCCGUUGCUAAAAGACAUAAAAUGUCUGCUGAUGUAUUGGACUUUGUGACCUCACUUACUUCUCAAAAAUAUAAUUAAUUUUUAUUUAUUUCUUACUUAUUUUAAGGGUCAAGCAGCCAAAUAAAUAACAUAUAAAUAAAAUAACUUCGUCCAAAAACAAGUAUACAUCGAUAUAAGCAUUUUGUAAAUACUCAUUUUUUUCUAGAACAAAAAAUACUCCAAUGCAUGUAUCUGGUUCGUCAGUCUAUAAUCCAACUUAGGAAAACCGACUUGUCGAAAUUCAGGAGGUAGACUUUCUUUUUUCUUUUUGCUAAAAAGUAAAUAUUCAUUAAUAAAAAUAAAAUACAUACAAAUUACUUACGUCCCAAAAGAAAAAAUCUAAAAAGACUUAAAUAACAAUACAAUAUUAGAACUAACGAUUGCACGAACAAUUUUAGUGCUAAAAAAUCUGAUCGACAACCACCACACCAAAAUCGGUAAGUACUCUGAUGAUGCCAAUUGACACAAACUCUAGACUCUCGGCAACGUUUCAAGGUACGGCUCCCGACGACGUUUUAAGUACAAUUAAUUCUAGAGAUAGAAAAAACUCUCCACACGAAUCAAACAGAGACUGACGGUACCUAUCCUUAGCACGAAUCCAUCAGAGACCGACGACACUUCAUGACAUGAACUCAUCGAAAUCUUAAAACAUUCUAAUCCAUGAUCCAAACAGUGUACGAGCAAUCCAACCCGACAUUACGAAGACAACUAAAGCUAAAACAACGGGACACGAGAUAGCCACAAUAACAAUCGACAGGUCAACAAUCCGACAAGCAAAAAGAAAAGACCGAAGCUACCAUAUCAUGGUCAAGCGACCAAAACAAUGGCACUGGGAUGAUGCGGUCUAACGGCAGCGGUCCACAAAAAAAUCUGGAACCUAUUGAACACCACAAGCUCACAAAAAUCUUGAUUGCAGCUGUAUUCGAGAACCGGAUAUACAGUUCUGAAGCUUCUCGGCACUCAAGUUUCACUGAAGACCUGCAGUAAAACGAAACCAGAGAGAGGGCACAACCUGAAACAUAGCAAUUGCCAAAGCCAUAGAGCAAAAAAGAUAGGGCCAACAUCCAGGAUAACGACUCGCAAUAAAUGACGCUUCAGCCAAGCAAUACCGGAGCCAACAAGCGCAAAGACCAGAGAGAAGGAAGAGACCACGAGAUCAACUGCUCUCUGCACAUUUCACCGGAGAGGAAAACGUCGAUGCCUAUCAUGACCGAAAAGAAGAAGAGAAACCCCACCAAGACACCGAGGGGAGGAGACGAGAUCUGCAAUUCACCACGGCCCAACAAACAAGAGAACUGAGACUCCACACCACUUGAACCUUCAGGAGAUCAUGAGAGUCGAAAAGCUAAUACAACCAAGCGCUGGUCUCAAAGGCAGAGGAGAGUAGAAACAGAUCUAAAAAUUCACCACCACUGUAAUCCCUAAAAACCGGUCCUACCACACACGUACCACUGACGAGACUCGCCGACGCUCCAAUAGAGAACAUGAGCCACCGAAUCCAGACCUAUGGCACUGAGAUAUAGGUCAAAAGCCGGGGCACGCCAACCACCACAGAGAAGCCGAGCAUAUCGAAUCGCCGAGGCAAAGAAGACAAAGAAAAGAGAAGAGAAAGAAAAAAGGAUUGAGGCCUCCGGCACCGGCAAAGGAGCUGACCACCAGCGAC
Molecule: long non-coding RNA, 7861 nt
Filed under: Brassica napus (rape)
Lineage: Eukaryota; Viridiplantae; Streptophyta; Magnoliopsida; Brassicales; Brassicaceae
Description: long non-coding RNA (BNAP_LNC005996)
Source: RNAcentral